Molecule: long non-coding RNA, 721 nt
Filed under: Homo sapiens (human)
Lineage: Eukaryota; Metazoa; Chordata; Mammalia; Primates; Hominidae
Description: non-protein coding lnc-LGALS9B-2:1
Source: RNAcentral
GUUUGAGACCAGCUUGGGCAAUGGAGUGAGACCCCCAUUCUGAAAAAAAAAAAUCAAAAAAUUUAACAGGCAUGGUGGCAUGUGCCUGCAGUCCCAGCUACUCAGGAGGCUGAGGUGGGAGGAUCGCUUGAACUCAGGAGUUGAAGGCUGCAGUGGGUGAGGAUCACAACACUGAAUUCCAGCUGAGGUGACAGAAUGAGACCCUGUCUCUCUAAAAAACAAGCAAGCAAACAAACCAAAAACCACAAACAAACCAGACCCCUCUUAGCAGAAUACUUCCAUGAGGUAAUAAAAGAAAGAAGAAAGUGAAACGAACAAACAAUUUUACUCAAGAAACUAGUGAGAAAUCAAAGAAAUGUCCAAGAAGUAGGAUACAAGAAUUAAUCAAAACAGAUUAACAGUGGAAUAAAUAAAUGAAUCCAACUGGUUCUUUGUAAUGGAAUGUGGAAAGACAUACUCUAUUCUUCUGGAUAGGAAGAUGAAAUAUCAUAAUCAUAUCAAUGCAAGUUUUAUGCAUGCUCAAACAUGUAUAAACUAAGAAAAAAUCUGAAAGGACAGACAGCAAAAUGUUUGCAGUUUUUUUCCUCCAAGUGGUAAGAUUAAAGUCCAUGAAAUAAGGUGGGGAAGAUGUUUUGAACCUCUCUCAGCAGCAGAUCCCUAAAUCACAGACCCAGAACUUGGAGGAAACAGGAAACAGGAGGCCAUCUCUGCACCUCUCCAG